AUGGAUCUCCACAUGAAGCUUCUGCUGGCCUCCCUCAGCUGUGUACUUCUAAUACAAGGAGCAUUCUGUGAUAACACUGCAGGGGGGACUGGAGCCACAAGCUGGACAUGUGUGUGCGCUGCUCAUCCGCUUGGUGAAUCUAACUCCAAUAGCAGCCUGUCAUCCAGCUGCGACUCCUCGUGCCAUUGCCUACGAGAUGAAAACGGCGGCACAGGGUCAUGGAACUGCUCGUGCCGCUCCGACAAGGACCUUCAGGAAGAAGAACAUGCUGUGGUGCACAGCGGGAGCUGCUUCACUUCCUGUAACUGCACAUCUGGAAGUUCUGAACAAGGGAGGAAGCAUUUCUCUAGUAAAACAGUCAUCGCAACACUCCUGGUAUGUGUGGUUCUCACCACUGUUGCUUUCGUCGGCACAACGGCGUACUACUUUCGACGCAAGGACGCGCUCUCCCCGCGUUCUCGGAUGCACUCUUUCGACAAGUAUGCCAGCUGGAGCAGUAGAUCGAACCUCGUCAGCCACCGGUCUUCUCCCCUUACCCAACUGAAACCCAAACCGGGGCUCAGUGUCAUCAAAGGGUUUUUGUGUAGCUGCCCGCUUGUCUCCCGGAGCGAAGACGGCCCAUUCCCCGGCGUGGUUCUCCGGUUCUCCUACGCGGAGUUGGAGCAGGCAACCGGGAAAUUCUCCGACGAACAGCUCAUUGGCGUCGGCGGGACAAGCAAAGUGUACCGUGGACAGCUCGCCGACGGCAAAGUCGUCGCCGUGAAGAAGCUUCGGCCCCUCGGAGGCGCAGACGAAGACUAUGAGUUCCUGUCAGAGAUCGAGCUGCUGUCGCGGCUGAACCACUGCCACGUGGUGCCGCUGCUGGGGUACUGCUCGGAGCGGCAGGGGCGGCAGCUGGAGCGGCUGCUGGUGUUCGAGUGCAUGACCAACGGCAACCUGCGGGAGUGCCUGGACGACCUCAACAGGAAGCCCAUGGACUGGGCGACGCGCGUCGGCGUGGCGCUGGGCGCGGCGAGGGGCCUCGAGUACCUCCACGAGGCGGCGGCGCCUCGCAUCCUCCACCGGGACAUCAAGUCAACCAACAUCCUGCUCGACGACAGGUUCAGGGCCCGUAUCACGGACCUGGGCAUGGCCAAGUGCCUCAUGAACGACGGCGUGACGAGCUGCUCCAGCUCGCCGGCGCGCAUGCUGGGCACCUUCGGGUACUUCGCCCCGGAGUACGCCAUCGUCGGCAAGGCGUCGCUCAAGUCGGACGUGUUCAGCUUCGGCGUGGUGGUGCUGGAGCUCAUCACCGGCCGGCAGCCCGUGCACAAGAGGGGCGGCGCCGGCGCCACUGGCGGCGCGGACGAGAGCCUGGUGAUGUGGGCGACGUCGCGGCUCCGGGACAGCAGGCUGGUGGUGGCGGAGCUGCCGGACCCGGCGCUGAAGGGCGCGUUCCCGCCCGAGGAGAUGCAGAUCAUGGCGCACCUCGCCAGGGAGUGCCUGCAGUGGGACCCCGAGGCCAGACCCACCAUGACCGAGGUCGUCCAGAUCCUCUCCACCAUCGCGCCCCUCGCCGACAAGCGCCGCCGGCACCACCUGCCCGCCGCCGCCGGUGCCUUCGCCCCGGGCUUCCGUGCCGAGAGGCCGCAGGAAUGCUCGAUGUGGCAGGACGGUGAUGCCGACCGUCGCCGCGAUCACAUGCACGGAGGGAACGGCAGCAACGCCAAGGGCGCCGUCGUGUCCGGAGAGGUCGCGAUCAACGUCGGCACGCCGGUGACGAUGGGCCGGAGCUGGCGGUCGGCAGAGCAGGAGGAGGUGGACCUGACGGAGCCGCGGCUGGAGACGUUCACGCAGCCCACGACGGCGACGAGCCUCUACAGGUGA
RNAcentral lists this ribosomal RNA (1866 nucleotides) under Triticum aestivum (bread wheat). Its description in RNAcentral is "partial small subunit ribosomal RNA". The record is from RNAcentral. Lineage: Eukaryota; Viridiplantae; Streptophyta; Magnoliopsida; Poales; Poaceae.